AUGGAAGUGGGGAUUUGAAAAAGAGGGAGAGGGAACUCCAAGCUAAAGAAGCUGAACUGAGAAAGUGUGAAGAGAUUGUAAAACGGAAAGAGGAUGCUGCAGCACGAGGUAUUAUGCCUUGCCUUUAUUUUGCUGAAAUAUCAGUAGUCUUCUCAUUGUUUGGGGUUAAAUGAAUAUGUUCAAAUGCCCAGGUAUCGAUCGCCAAAUG
RNAcentral lists this long non-coding RNA (208 nucleotides) under Rosa chinensis. Its description in RNAcentral is "sRNA RchiOBHm_Chr2g0140371". Lineage: Eukaryota; Viridiplantae; Streptophyta; Magnoliopsida; Rosales; Rosaceae. The record is from RNAcentral.